Molecule: ribosomal RNA, 534 nt
Filed under: Quasipaa boulengeri (spiny-bellied frog)
Lineage: Eukaryota; Metazoa; Chordata; Amphibia; Anura; Dicroglossidae
Description: partial 16S ribosomal RNA
Rfam family: Bacterial large subunit ribosomal RNA
Source: RNAcentral
GUCCAGCCUGCCCAGUGACUUAGUUAAACGGCCGCGGUACCCUGACCGUGCGAAGGUAGCAUAAUCACUUGUUCUUUAAAUAAGGACUAGUAUCAACGGCAUCACGAGGGUUACACUGUCUCCUCCCUCCAAUCAGUGAAACUGAUCUCCCCGUGAAGAAGCGGGGAUAGAAAUAUAAGACGAGAAGACCCCAUGGAGCUUUAAACCCAACAACAACCUCUAUGCACAACUCCCUAAUAAAUGCAGAAGUACUGUCUGUUGGUUUUAGGUUGGGGUGACCGCGGAGUAAAACUUAACCUCCACGAUGAACGGGAUUAACCCCUAAUCCAAGAGCCACCGCUCUAAGAAUCAAUAAAUUGACGUGAAAUGAUCCGACAAUCGAUCAACGAACCAAGUUACCCUGGGGAUAACAGCGCAAUCCAUUUCAAGAGCUCCUAUCGACAAAUGGGUUUACGACCUCGAUGUUGGAUCAGGGUAUCCCAGUGGUGCAGCCGCUACUAAAGGUUUGUUUGUUCAACAAUUAAAACCCUACGU